Populus trichocarpa (black cottonwood) is the source of this 155-nucleotide non-coding RNA. The record is from Rfam. NCBI's taxonomy places the organism in Eukaryota, Viridiplantae, Streptophyta, Magnoliopsida, Malpighiales, Salicaceae.
UCUAGAACUCGAGAUAUAGGUUGAACACUGAACAGUAUCUGAGCUGCAAGACAGAUUCUGACUUCUCUUUUGAUGCUAAGAUUUGGACUUCCAAAUGACAGAAUUGAGUCUUACACUCCUCCUGAAUGUUUUAGGCCUAUUCUUAGCUUUCUAGC